Molecule: ribosomal RNA, 449 nt
Filed under: uncultured bacterium
Lineage: Bacteria
Description: partial 16S ribosomal RNA
Rfam family: Bacterial small subunit ribosomal RNA
Source: RNAcentral
AACGAACGCUGGCGGCAGGCCUAAAACAUGCAAGUCGAACGCCCUAGCAAUAGGGAGUGGCGCACGGGUGAGUAACGCGUGGGAACGUGCCCUUCAGUACGGAACAACGUCGGGAAACUGACGCUAAUACCGUAUAAUAUCUCCGGAUCAAAGAUUUGUCGCUGAAGGAUCGGCCCGCGUCUGAUUAGCUAGUUGGUGAGGUAAUGGCUCACCAAGGCUACGAUCAGUAGCUGGUCUGAGAGGAUGAUCAGCCACACUGGGACUGAGACACGGCCCAGACUCCUACGGGAGGCAGCAGUUAGGAAUAUUGGACAAUGGGCGAAAGCCUGAUCCAGCCAUGCCGCGUGUGUGAUGAAGGCCUUAGGGUUGUAAAGCACUUUCGUUGGGGAUGAUAAUGACCGUACCCAAAGAAGAAGCCACGGCUAAAUUCGUGCCAGCAGCCGCCGUAA